This 33-nucleotide small RNA is filed under the name Bombyx mori (domestic silkworm). RNAcentral's name for it is "ovarian small RNA-34178". Lineage: Eukaryota; Metazoa; Arthropoda; Insecta; Lepidoptera; Bombycidae. The record is from RNAcentral.
UGCUCGCCAUCAUCAGGAGGGAUUGCUCCCCCC